RNAcentral lists this ribosomal RNA (207 nucleotides) under uncultured bacterium. Its description in RNAcentral is "partial 16S ribosomal RNA". It matches the Rfam family "Bacterial small subunit ribosomal RNA", at positions 568 to 774 of the family's 1533-position model. The record is from RNAcentral.
CGCGUAGGUGGUCUGUUAAGUUGGAUGUGAAAGCCCCGGGCUCAACCUGGGAACUGCAUCCAAAACUGGCAAGCUAGAGUACGGUAGAGGGUGGUGGAAUUUCCUGUGUAGCGGUGAAAUGCGUAGAUAUAGGAAGGAACACCAGUGGCGAAGGCGACCACCUGGACUGAUACUGACACUGAGGUGCGAAAGCGUGGGGAGCAAACA